CUUGGGGGGGAGGGGCUCCCUCAGCCUGGAUUGUGAGAGGGCGCAGGCCAGGCUGAAGGACCCCACUGGUGCACA
This 75-nucleotide microRNA precursor is filed under the name Myotis lucifugus (little brown bat). RNAcentral's name for it is "mir-9193 microRNA precursor family". It matches the Rfam family "mir-9193 microRNA precursor family". Lineage: Eukaryota; Metazoa; Chordata; Mammalia; Chiroptera; Vespertilionidae. The record is from Rfam by way of RNAcentral.